This 520-nucleotide ribosomal RNA is filed under the name uncultured Glomus. Its description in RNAcentral is "SSU rRNA". It matches the Rfam family "Eukaryotic small subunit ribosomal RNA", at positions 569 to 1089 of the family's 1831-position model. Lineage: Eukaryota; Fungi; Glomeromycota; Glomeromycetes; Glomerales; Glomeraceae. The record is from RNAcentral.
AGCAGCCGCGGUAAUUCCAGCUCCAAUAGCGUAUAUUAAAGUUGUUGCAGUUAAAAAGCUCGUAGUUGAAUUUCGGGAUCAAUGCGUCGGUCGUGCUUUCGGGUACGUACUGGUGUCAUUGGUUUCUCCUUUCUGACGAGCCGUGAUGUCAUUAAUUUGGUGUUACGGGUAGUUAGGACUGUUACUUUGAAAAAAUUAGAGUGUUUAAAGCAGGCAUUAGCUUGAAUACAUUAGCAUGGAAUAAUGAAAUAGGACGUUCGAUCCUAUUUUGUUGGUUUCUAGGAUCAACGUAAUGAUUAAUAGGGAUAGUUGGGGGCAUUAGUAUUCAAUUGUCAGAGGUGAAAUUCUUGGAUUAUUGGAAGACUAACUACUGCGAAAGCAUUUGCCAAGGAUGUUUUCAUUAAUCAAGAACGAAAGUUAGGGGAUCGAAGACGAUCAGAUACCGUCGUAGUCUUAACCAUAAACUAUGCCGACUAGGGAUCGGAUGAUGUUAAUUUUUUAAUGACUCAUUCGGCGCCUU